This 802-nucleotide ribosomal RNA is filed under the name Staphylococcus aureus. Its description in RNAcentral is "partial 23S ribosomal RNA". It matches the Rfam family "Bacterial large subunit ribosomal RNA", at positions 1399 to 2196 of the family's 2925-position model. The record is from RNAcentral. Lineage: Bacteria; Bacillati; Bacillota; Bacilli; Caryophanales; Staphylococcaceae.
AGGCCGACAGGCGUAGGCGAUGGAUAACAGGUUGAUAUUCCUGUACCACCUAUAAUCGUUUUAAUCGAUGGGGGGACGCAGUAGGAUAGGCGAAGCGUGCGAUUGGAUUGCACGUCUAAGCAGUAAGGCUGAGUAUUAGGCAAAUCCGGUACUCGUUAAGGCUGAGCUGUGAUGGGGAGAAGACAUUGUGUCUUCGAGUCGUUGAUUUCACACUGCCGAGAAAAGCCUCUAGAUAGAAAAUAGGUGCCCGUACCGCAAACCGACACAGGUAGUCAAGAUGAGAAUUCUAAGGUGAGCGAGCGAACUCUCGUUAAGGAACUCGGCAAAAUGACCCCGUAACUUCGGGAGAAGGGGUGCUCUUUAGGGUUAACGCCCAGAAGAGCCGCAGUGAAUAGGCCCAAGCGACUGUUUAUCAAAAACACAGGUCUCUGCUAAACCGUAAGGUGAUGUAUAGGGGCUGACGCCUGCCCGGUGCUGGAAGGUUAAGAGGAGUGGUUAGCUUCUGCGAAGCUACGAAUCGAAGCCCCAGUAAACGGCGGCCGUAACUAUAACGGUCCUAAGGUAGCGAAAUUCCUUGUCGGGUAAGUUCCGACCCGCACGAAAGGCGUAACGAUUUGGGCACUGUCUCAACGAGAGACUCGGUGAAAUCAUAGUACCUGUGAAGAUGCAGGUUACCCGCGACAGGACGGAAAGACCCCGUGGAGCUUUACUGUAGCCUGAUAUUGAAAUUCGGCACAGCUUGUACAGGAUAGGUAGGAGCCUUUGAAACGUGAGCGCUAGCUUACGUGGAGGCGCUGGUGGG